Rhopilema esculentum is the source of this 950-nucleotide non-coding RNA. The record is from RefSeq and is a predicted model, not a curated record. Lineage: Eukaryota; Metazoa; Cnidaria; Scyphozoa; Rhizostomeae; Rhizostomatidae.
UGAUCUUCCACUGAACUCAAGCACUAAGCAUGUAUUUAAUGUCGUAAUAUAUUCAGAUUGGCACUAUUUGUGAGCAUAAAUCUUCAGAAAAGAUCCAAUCUGUGAACAUCUUGUUUUAUGCCUGACAUGUUACGUAAUGCUUUGGCAAGCUUGACACUUCUAGUCAAUACCAGAGACUGGCACAACCAGAUAAUCCACCCAGAAUAUAAAGAACUUGUUGUCGCCAUCAACCAAUAUACAUCUGGUUAUGUGAUAAAAUGUGCAUUUAUUUUUGACCAAGGAAUUUGAAAUAAGCCUGCCUACCAAAAACCAAGCUCCUUCAUACCAGAUAUAGAUACAGUUUAAGAAAUUAUGUAGCAUAUUCAUUAUGUUCAUUCUCUGCAAAGUUUUGUAAAUGCUAUGACAGGCAACUAAGAGCCUGUUGAAUAUAGCCUAUUUUUGUAAAAAGUGACUCAUUUUGUUUGUUAACUGAUGUAUCAGGGCUUCAGAUGACAAGUUAGGAAAACUUUCAAACCCAGAGUGGUUCCAUGAUAACUUAGUUAGACAAAACAGUAUCUAUGUUCUAAAUCUAAGAAUAAGUUUUUUCUUUCAGGAUCAUUUUUCAUCCAAUCAACAAAACAGAUUAUAAAGUAAUUGAGUUAAAAAUAUCUGCUGGGGCACCCGGUCAGAUAUAUGAAGAUGGGCAGCAAAAGCUGUACCUGUUUUCAGACAAUGAGGUACUAGGCCCACUAUGGCCUCUAGAAAUACAGCAUUUAGUAAAGAAGAGAUUUCAAGAGAGUUUAAAAUCAUUUACUGGACUAGAGAGCUAUACAACACCUGCACUAGCCAAAAGACAAAAACAAUGCACCUAACGUAAAUUGAAAAGUACACUUUUUUAAAUGUGAUUUAAAAUUAUAUUUUUGUCUUAUCUAUUUGUUCUUGUAUUUGCUAAAAACUUUGUUUCCAUAUUA